Eriocheir sinensis (Chinese mitten crab) is the source of this 639-nucleotide long non-coding RNA. RefSeq lists it as uncharacterized. NCBI's taxonomy places the organism in Eukaryota, Metazoa, Arthropoda, Malacostraca, Decapoda, Varunidae. The transcript has 4 exons. The record is from RefSeq and is a predicted model, not a curated record.
GUUAGGUUAAGUAAAGGGAAGGGAAGGAAAAGGUUAGGUUAAGUAAAGGGAAGGGAAGGAAAAGGUUAGGUUAAGUAAAGGGAAGGGAAGGGAAAGGAAAGGUUAGGUUAAGUAAAGGGAAGGGAAGGAAAAGGUUAGGUUAAGUAAAGGGAAGGGAAGGAAAAGGUUAGGUUAAGUAAAGGGAAGGGAAGGGAAGGAAAAGGUUAGGUUAAGUAAAGGGAAGGGAAGGAAAAGGUUAGGUUAAGUAAAGGGAAGGGAAGGGAAGGGAAAGGUUAGGUUAAGUAAAGGGAAGGGAAGGGAAAGGUUAGGUUAAGUAAAGGAAAGGGAAGGAAAAGGUUAGGUUAAGUAAAGGAAAGGGAAGGAAAAGGUUAGGUUAAGUAAAGGGAAGGGAAGGAAAAGGUUAGGUUAAGUAAAGGGAAGGGAAAGGUUAGGUUAAGUAAAGGGAAGGGAAGGGAAAGGUUAGGUUAAGUAAAGGGAAGGGAAGGGAAAGGUUAGGUUAAGUAAAGGAAAGGGAAGGGAAAGGUUAGGUUAAGUAAAGGAAAGGGAAGGGAAAGGUUAGGUUAAGUAAAGGAAAGGGAAGGAAAAGGUUAGGUUAAGUAAAGGAAAGGGAAGGGAAAGGUUAGGUUAAGUAAAGGGAAG